Molecule: ribosomal RNA, 253 nt
Filed under: uncultured bacterium
Lineage: Bacteria
Description: partial 16S ribosomal RNA
Rfam family: Bacterial small subunit ribosomal RNA
Source: RNAcentral
GACAGAGGGUGCAAACGUUGUUCGGAAUUACUGGGCGUAAAGCGCGUGUAGGCGGCUAUGCAAGUCGGGCGUGAAAUCCCACGGCUCAACCGUGGAAGUGCACUCGAAACUGCGUAGCUAGAGUCCUGGAGAGGAAGGUGGAAUGCUUGGUGUAGAGGUGAAAUUCGUAGAUAUCAAGCGGAACACCGGUGGCGAAGGCGGCCUUCUGGACAGUGACUGACGCUGAGGCACGAAAGCUAGGGGAGCAAACAGG